RNAcentral lists this ribosomal RNA (253 nucleotides) under uncultured bacterium. RNAcentral's name for it is "partial 16S ribosomal RNA". It matches the Rfam family "Bacterial small subunit ribosomal RNA", at positions 524 to 776 of the family's 1533-position model. The record is from RNAcentral.
UACGUAGGGGGCUAGCGUUGUCCGGAUUUAUUGGGCGUAAAGAGCGUGUAGGCGGCCAGGUAGGUCUGCUGUGAAAACUCGAGGCUUAACCUCGAGAUGUCAUCGGAAACCAUCUGGCUAGAGUCCGGAAGAGGAGAGUGGAAUUCCUGGUGUAGCGGUGAAAUGCGCAGAUAUCAGGAAGAACACCAAUGGCGAAAGCAGCUCGCUGGGACGGUACUGACGCUGAGACGCGAAAGCGUGGGGAGCGAACAGG